RNAcentral lists this ribosomal RNA (498 nucleotides) under uncultured bacterium. Its description in RNAcentral is "partial 16S ribosomal RNA". It matches the Rfam family "Bacterial small subunit ribosomal RNA", at positions 28 to 523 of the family's 1533-position model. The record is from RNAcentral.
GAUGAACGCUGGCGGCGUGCCUAAUACAUGCAAGUCGAACGCUUCACAUAUGUGAAGAGUGGCGAACGGGUGAGUAAUACAUAAGUAACCUGGCCUUUACAGGGGGAUAACUAUUGGAAACGAUAGCUAAGACCGCAUAGGUGUGCAGAUCGCAUGAAGUGCACAUGAAAUAUGCUACGGCAUAGGUAGAGGAUGGACUUAUGGCGCAUUAGCUAGUUGGAGGGGUAACGGCCCACCAAGGCGACGAUGCGUAGCCGACCUGAGAGGGUGACCGGCCACACUGGGACUGAGACACGGCCCAGACUCCUACGGGAGGCAGCAGUAGGGAAUUUUCGGCAAUGGGGGAAACCCUGACCGAGCAACGCCGCGUGAAGGAAGAAGUAAUUCGUUAUGUAAACUUCUGUCAUAGAGGAAGAACGGUGCGUGUAGGGAAUGACAUGCAAGUGACGGUACUCUAUAAGAAAGCCACGGCUAACUACGUGCCAGCCGCCGCCGUAA